GAUGAAGAACGUAGCGAAAUGCGAUAAGUAGUGUGAAUUGCAGAAUUCAGUGAAUCAUCGAAUCUCUGAACGCACAUUGCGCCCUUUGGUAUUCCUUAGGGCAUGCCUGUUCGAGCGUCAUUUCAACCCUCAAGCCCUGCUUGGUGUUGGGCGUUUGUCCUGCCUCCGCGCGGGACUCGCCUCAAAGACAUUGGCGGCCGGUUUCCCUUUGCAGGCCACGAGCGCAGCACAGCGAGCGCUCUACGUGGACGCGGGGUCGGCGCACCAGAAGCCCUCUUUCUCGAAUUUUGACCUCGGAUCAGGUAGGGAUACCCGCUGAACUUAAGCAUAUCAAUAAGCGGAGGA
Molecule: unclassified non-coding RNA, 345 nt
Filed under: soil metagenome
Description: partial contains 5.8S ribosomal RNA, internal transcribed spacer 2, and large subunit ribosomal RNA
Rfam family: 5.8S ribosomal RNA (bases 1-120)
Source: RNAcentral